RNAcentral lists this ribosomal RNA (494 nucleotides) under uncultured bacterium. RNAcentral describes it as "partial 16S ribosomal RNA". It matches the Rfam family "Bacterial small subunit ribosomal RNA", at positions 28 to 507 of the family's 1533-position model. The record is from RNAcentral.
GACGAACGCUGGCGGCGUGCUUAACACAUGCAAGUCGAACGGUGAAGCGCCUUCCUUUUUGGUGGGUGUGGAUGAGUGGCGAACGGGUGAGUAACACGUGAGUAACCUGCCCCCUUCUUCUGGAUAACCGCAUGAAAGUGUGGCUAAUACGGGAUAUUCUGGGCCUGUCGCAUGAUGGGUCUGGGAAAGAUCUUGUUUCGGUGGGGGAUGGGCUCGCGGCCUAUCAGCUUGUUGGUGGGGUGAUGGCCUACCAAGGCGGUGACGGGUAGCCGGCCUGAGAGGGUGGACGGUCACACUGGGACUGAGACACGGCCCAGACUCCUACGGGAGGCAGCAGUGGGGAAUAUUGCACAAUGGGCGCAAGCCUGAUGCAGCGACGCCGCGUGAGGGAUGGAGGCCUUCGGGUUGUGAACCUCUUUCGCCAGUGAAGCAGGCCUGCCUCGUUUGUGGGUGGGUUGACGGUAGCUGGAUAAGAAGCGCCGGCUAACUACGUG